This 494-nucleotide ribosomal RNA is filed under the name uncultured bacterium. RNAcentral's name for it is "partial 16S ribosomal RNA". It matches the Rfam family "Bacterial small subunit ribosomal RNA", at positions 28 to 507 of the family's 1533-position model. The record is from RNAcentral.
GACGAACGCUGGCGGCGCGCUUAACACAUGCAAGUCGAACGGAAAGGCCUGCUUUCCCUUGUGGAUUGCGGGUACUCGAGUGGCGAACGGGUGAGUAACACGUGAGUGAUCUGCCCCCAACUUGGGUAUAAGCCUGGGAAACUGGGUCUAAUUCCCGAUAGGACUGCAGGGCGGUGCCUGUGGUGGAAAACGAUUUUCUAGUGGUUGGGGAUGAGCUCGCGGCCUAUCAGCUUGUUGGUGGGGUAAUGGCCUACCAAGGCGGCGACGGGUAGCCGGCCUGAGAGGGUGGACGGCCACAUUGGGACUGAGAUACGGCCCAGACUCCUACGGGAGGCAGCAGUGGGGAAUAUUGCACAAUGGGCGGAAGCCUGAUGCAGCGACGCCGCGUGGGGGAUGACGGCCUUCGGGUUGUAAACUCCUUUCGACCGCGAGGAAGCCACCUGGUUGGAAGGGUGGUGACGGUAGUGGUAGAAGAAGCACCGGCUAACUACGUG